Molecule: ribosomal RNA, 292 nt
Filed under: uncultured bacterium
Lineage: Bacteria
Description: partial 16S ribosomal RNA
Rfam family: Bacterial small subunit ribosomal RNA
Source: RNAcentral
GUGUCAGCCGCCGCGGUAAUACGUAGGGUGCGAGCGUUAAUCGGAAUUACUGGGCGUAAAGCGUGCGCAGGUGGUUCGCUAAGACAGAUGUGAAAUCCCCGGGCUCAACCUGGGAACUGCGUUUGUGACUGGCGGGCUAGAGUGCGGAAGAGGGAGGUGGAAUUCCACGUGUAGCAGUGAAAUGCGUAGAGAUGUGGAGGAACACCGAUGGCGAAGGCAGCCUCCUGGUCUAGCACUGACGCUCAUGCACGAAAGCGUGGGGAGCAAACAGGAUUAGAAACCCCCGUAGUCC